CAAAAAAAAUUGAGAGCAAGAGCCAAGAGAAAGGGCCAUACGGCCAAAGAAAAGAAAAAAAAAAUUGGAGCUCAAAUCUUUAGUUCAAAAAUUCAUCUCUUGUGGAAUUACUACUAAGCUCAAAGCCCUCUUCAAUGUAAUACAACUUUGGAAGCAAGAAAGUACUUUUUUUACCAAGUGGAGAAUUUGGAAAAGAUUUUGGAGGAAACGGGAUUUGAGUUUGGACAAGCGUAAGAAGCAAAUAAGGUGUAUACAGAUGAGUAGAGGAUAUUGCUAGAAGAUGUUCCAGCUGAAUUGGUGAGCUCCAUUUCCUUCCGGAGUGUUGCCGAGUCAGAGUACUUACGUUAUGGUAUUUCGCCUAUAUUAGAGACUUUGCAGACAGUGUCCUGUGGUACGUUUGUCGAGAUGUCGACAAAGUGAUGUCAGCUGAACCAUUUGUGUAUUUUAAAAGAGUAUGUAUUUCAGAUGAUUUAGAUUGGUCUAAAGUACUUAUUGAUUGAAAUUUUUCAUAAUCGUUAUAGAGAUAAUGAUUUCUAUUUGAAAAAAUUUUAUGUUCUUAAAAGUUUUUGAAAUGACAGGUUUUAAUAGAGUGAAUGUCUAAGGGUUCGCUCGAUUCUGAUGAGAGUCGGGUGCCCAUCAUGCCCUAUCAAGAUUAGGGUGUGACAAUAUUCUUCUGCUCUGAAUAUUUCGUCGUUUGUAAAUUGUAUUUUCCAAAGGAGAUUAUUUCUAAAACUUAGAAUGUCCGUAUUAGUUUCUAG
Molecule: long non-coding RNA, 758 nt
Organism: Lycium barbarum (goji berry)
Lineage: Eukaryota; Viridiplantae; Streptophyta; Magnoliopsida; Solanales; Solanaceae
Exons: 3
Source: RefSeq, a predicted model, not a curated record